UACGUAGGGGGCAAGCGUUAUCCGGAUUUACUGGGUGUAAAGGGAGCGUAGACGGCGAUGCAAGCCAGAUGUGAAAGCCCGGGGCUCAACCCCGGGACUGCAUUUGGAACUGUAUAGCUAGAGUGUCGGAGAGGCAGGCGGAAUUCCUAGUGUAGCGGUGAAAUGCGUAGAUAUUAGGAGGAACACCAGUGGCGAAGGCGGCCUGCUGGACGAUGACUGACGUUAAGGCUCGAAAGCGUGGGGAGCAAACAGG
RNAcentral lists this ribosomal RNA (253 nucleotides) under uncultured bacterium. RNAcentral's name for it is "partial 16S ribosomal RNA". It matches the Rfam family "Bacterial small subunit ribosomal RNA", at positions 524 to 776 of the family's 1533-position model. The record is from RNAcentral.